AAGAAACCAACAGGGAUUGCCCCAGUAACGGCGAGUGAAGCGGCAACAGCUCAAAUUUGAAAUCUGGUCCCCAGGGCCCGAGUUGUAAUUUGCAGAGGAUGCUUUUGGUGAGGUGCCUUCCGAGUUCCCUGGAACGGGACGCCAUAGAGGGUGAGAGCCCCGUCUGGUUGGAUACCGAGCCUCUGUAAAGCUCCUUCGACGAGUCGAGUAGUUUGGGAAUGCUGCUCUAAAUGGGAGGUAUAUGUCUUCUAAAGCUAAAUAUUGGCCAGAGACCGAUAGCGCACAAGUAGAGUGAUCGAAAGAUGAAAAGCACUUUGAAAAGAGGGUUAAAUAGUACGUGAAAUUGUUGAAAGGGAAGCACUUAUGACCAGACUUGGCCCCGGUGAAUCAUCCAGCGGUCCCCGCUGGUGCACUUUGCCGGGGUUCAGGCCAGCAUCAGUUCGCUCCGGGGGAUAAAGGCUUUGGGAAUGUGGCUCCCUCGGGAGUGUUAUAGCCCAUUGCGUAAUACCUUGUGGCGGGCUGAGGUUCGCGCUUUAUGCAAGGAUGCUGGCAUAAUGGUCAUCAGUGACCCGUCUUGAAACACGGACCCCUGUGUGAAAUU
RNAcentral lists this ribosomal RNA (601 nucleotides) under Metarhizium sp. CQM1. Its description in RNAcentral is "eukaryotic LSU rRNA". It matches the Rfam family "Eukaryotic large subunit ribosomal RNA", at positions 59 to 664 of the family's 3401-position model. The record is from RNAcentral. Lineage: Eukaryota; Fungi; Ascomycota; Sordariomycetes; Hypocreales; Clavicipitaceae.